This 395-nucleotide ribosomal RNA is filed under the name uncultured bacterium. RNAcentral's name for it is "bacterial SSU rRNA". It matches the Rfam family "Bacterial small subunit ribosomal RNA", at positions 521 to 916 of the family's 1533-position model. The record is from RNAcentral.
UAAUACGUAGGGUGCGAGCGUUAAUCGGAAUUACUGGGCGUAAAGCGUGCGCAGGCGGUUUUGUAAGUCAGAUGUGAAAUCCCCGGGCUUAACCUGGGAACUGCGUUUGAAACUACAAGGCUAGAGUGUAGCAGAGGGGGGUGGAAUUCCACGUGUAGCAGUGAAAUGCGUAGAGAUGUGGAGGAACACCGAUGGCGAAGGCAGCCCCCUGGGUUAACACUGACGCUCAGGCACGAAAGCGUGGGGAGCAAACAGGAUUAGAUACCCUGGUAGUCCACGCCCUAAACUAUGUCAACUAGUUGUCGGGCCUUAACGGGCUUGGUAACGUAGCUAACGCGUGAAGUUGACCGCCUGGGGAGUACGGUCGCAAGAUUAAAACUUAAAGGAAUUGACGG